Molecule: long non-coding RNA, 4585 nt
Organism: Papaver somniferum (opium poppy)
Lineage: Eukaryota; Viridiplantae; Streptophyta; Magnoliopsida; Ranunculales; Papaveraceae
Exons: 2
Source: RefSeq, a predicted model, not a curated record
CUUUAUCCCAUCUUUCAUUACUGCUCAGAAAACAACUCUAUUUUCUCUUCUUCAUCCCCGACAACACCCCAUCAAUUGUCAAACCUUAACUCUGCCUAUCUCAUCGACAACCAAAUCCCAGCAAGCUUCAUGUCAAAUCUAUCAAACUCAUACCUCUAUCACUACUUUUACUCUUUCAGACUAGUUUCUUAUCUUUUCUAUUAUCAUUUCAGUCAUAACCCUAGGCUUUGACUCAUACAAAUAGGGCAAGCUACGAAUUUGAUUUUGUUACUCUCUGCAAACUUCAGCAACAGCAGCGCGCAAUCGACGGAAAUAGGGUGGAUGUGAUGAUUAAGCAAAUGAAUGACAAUUAGGCCUGAAUUCAAACAACAACAACAUCAGUCAAUUGGAUGAGGAUAAGAGCAGUGGCGGUGCAUGAAUGAUGAGUCUUACAAAGUGUGCUCUCAUGUGCUAGGGAGACCACUACAAUCGGCUACCGUCAGAUCGGUUGUGCUUAAUCUAUGCCUUCCUGCGCCCGUUGACGGAGGUGAUAGAGAAUCCACUAAUAUAUUCAAGGAAAAAAGAAAGAGCCGAGGACAUAUAUCAGACUUGUUGGUUGUUUCUCAGUUUCAUAAUGGAGGUAAGUCUCAUACCACUUUAAGCUGAAAUCAUCUGGUUUCUAUAAGGCCUGAAUGGUUUUGAUAUUUGAUAUGCAAAAAUGCUUCAUUUCUGUUAACAACUGUGAGCAUACCACUCAAUCGUUAGUCAAACACAUAUUAAUUGUUAAAUUCAAAUACAGACCAUUGUGGACAGGUAGACAAUCUUAAGCAAGUUCUUUGAGAUUGGGAUAAGCUUGGUCUUAGUGACGAUAUAUACAUCUUUUUGGUGGCAUAUCUGAACUGGCAAUAGGCGAACCAAUUCUAAGAAUAGCCAAAAGCACCUGUUUUUUAUCAUUUUGCAUGCAUCAUUCUGUUUAGGAUUUUAUUAGUUGCAUUUAGGAGACCACUCGUUUCAUUUUAUUUUUAUUUUUUUUUUAAAAAGAAAAAAGAAAUGUCUGGAUUUUGGAUUGGUGUUAGGGAUGAGAAAUCAUCGCAUAAAUCGAUUAGAGAACUUGCAAAUGAGCAUGCUUCACAUUAUGAGAAUCCAGUAGACCAUGAUGUCAAUAACUAUAGGGAAUAUUGCCAACCUUUUCAAGGUUGUGAUUUGCAUUACACAGGCCCCAAUGACUAUUCACACAUGUACGAAUCACCACAAUGGGAAGCUGAACACUUUUGUACUCCCCUGAGCCCUUGUAUGCAAUCUGUGAUGGAAAAUCUCAGACUCAUUGAACAAAAUAAUGCCAGAUUUGAAUUGCAAGCAUUGCAUGAUCAUCCAUAUAGCAACACAUAUGAAUUUCCCUUCGGUAGUGAACCUCAUGCACAACCAUGUACUGAAUAUACAUAUGAAGCGAGGAUACACACUAUUAAAGACUCCCCUUCCAUUGAACAACUUAAUAUGGUAUUAAAGAUGAAUCUGAUUCAUUUACAAAAUGUAGGAAGGGAGGAAUUUCAACAUGAAAUGUUUGUUUGUCCUAAUGAAAUAAAUUGUCAAAAUAGUGUGUCUAGUCUUACUCGUGCAACUGAUAUUGCAGAUGAACCUGUUUUAGAAACAAAUGAAUGGACUGGAAAUACUAUGAUUUUUGAUGGGAUAAACUCAUGUUACGAUGAUGAUAAUGAUAAUGAUUUAGAAUAAUAUGUCCAUUCUGAAAAUGUUGUUAUGGAAUCUUUUGUUUCUGAGACAUUUGGAUCCAUUGAUGUGACUUCGAAAAAUGAUGUCUCUUCUGAUUUUCUUGUUCGUAACACUGAAAUAUUGGAUGAUGUUGAUUCUGAAUUGGGGCUUGUACAAUUGUUCUGUGAAGGUGAGCCUGAUACACCUGUUGUGUAUGACGUAGGAAAGGUUGAUUUGUAUGUAGACACCAAUGAUCCCAUGCAUGAAAAUAAAUUUGAUGUGUCUGAUUCCCUACCUAGGCCGCAAUAUAUUGCUUCUUUUGAUGCUGAUUUGGAUACUUUGGAUAACCAUGAUUCUGAACUGGGGCUUGUUGAUUUGUGCAAUGAAUGUAAGCAUACGACUGCACUCGUAGAUGACUUAGGAGAUGUUAAUGUGAUUGAUAAUAAUGGUACUCUUGAUAUCAUACAUGUGAGCGACGUAGAUGUACCUACUUUCCUGCCUAAUUCAAAAUCUGAUAUUCUUCCAUCCAACCUAGGUUUGGUUUGUCACAAAAUUUUUAAACCAACUAUUCUGAGAGUUCCUAAUCUAGGCCUGGAACUGUGUGCUUCACAAGUCCUUUUGGACCAUUUUAUAGCUAAAUAUAGUAUCUCUGAAGAUCCACAUUUGGAAUGCAUUGACAUGUGUACCCGUUCCUAGGAAAGUCCACUUUGAAUUAGAUCUUGUGCAUGCAACACCUCCAAAAUUGCAAGAUUUUGUGCUCAAAAACACACCUGUUCACAACUUUAGGUUUGAGGGUAACUCGUUUACAUAUGCAAUCUUACUUGCACUCUCAUGUUAUAAUUGUGCAAGGCUGUUGAUGUCUCUGCAUGUCUUCUUUUGGGUUGAUCCUCAACUCUUUAGGUUGUAUGUGUAUGGUGAAGUUUUCUUGUAUAUAAUCCAGUGGGUAAUGUUUCAGUUGAAUCUUAUGUUUCUUUUGUAUAUAUUGUGCUAAUCCAAUGUGAUCUCAGCUGAAAAAUGUUGGAUUCUAGCCGUGAAUAAUGGAGUUCGGUUCUUUCUUUCGUCAAAUCUGGUAAUCUCUUUCCUUUUUCUCAAACUCAUCAACAUCUUUCUCCUGGUAUGUUACUGUUAUAAAUCCGUCUAUCAUUAGAAACAUUGAGGACAAUGUUUAGUUUAGGUUUGGGGGUGAAAAUUAGAUACCAUAUGGUUGUCACGAUGCUAUCAUUUUAACUGAACUCUAUCAUCUUUAAAAAAUAAAAAAAUGAAAAAUGGAGCUUAUUUACCUUGAAUUGUGAUACCUGUGCAUGUAUGAUAUUUUAGGAUUCUUAGUCUAGAUGAUGAGGCACCCCUGAUUCUAGCACAAUUCACAUGUGAUAUAGAAAAUUUGCACAUGCACGAUCAACCAAGCGUGUAUAGCAUCGGUGUUUCAUAGGUUAAGUAGGCUGCCAAUCAUCUAGAAUACUGAAUGAGACUUGACUAGCUUGUUCUUUGGUUGGCUGGGAUAGAAGUUGGAGGAUACGUUAAGAAAAGCAACCAUUGAAUUUGACCGGGUGCAUCGAAAAGGGAUGCCUCUUACUAAAAGUGUCAUGUAAUGUAUUUUUGAGAUUUUGUGUAAAGUUGUUGCGUCAUCUUGUGUUUGUAUCUCUUAUUAUUGCAAAGUCAGAUAAAAAUUUAGUUGAAAAGUCAGAUGAAAAUUCAAUUUCAAAAAAAAAAAAUCAGUUGAAAAAAAAAUCAGAAAAAGAAAAGAAAAAUAUCCAUUAUCUGUUGUUAUGUCUAUUUCAAUAAGAAAAGCUAAUGUUUCUCUCUUGCCUCGAAAUGAGAGAGUAGUGAAUGUAUAUAUGCAGUCAAUGUGUUAUGUGUUGUAAAUAGUCUUGUAAUAUGCAAGGAGGGUGUAGCCAUCGAUGUACGAUGCGGGUAAGCUGAAAUAUCACCAACUCAUCAGGUGAACAUUCACAAUUCUCGUAAAGCCGGACAACUAGCUUGUCUUUGAAUUCAGUUCUUAGCAUAAAACCUAUCUCCUAGUAAUUGGCAGUCAUAACUUCCUAGAGUAAUCAUUCUCUAUACAUGUCUAAGGCAGAUAUACUUUACACUCUUAUCACAUGGCCUUAGUUGUUUCAGUGCUAGAAUUGUGCCUUUGAAAGCUAGAUUGACGUAUCCAAUUGCUGUGAGCUAAAAAUGAAUGCAUGUAUCACUUUCAUGGAAUCUGAGCUUACAUUUUGUCCUAGAACUUUUUGGGUACAUUUUGACCAGCGUCGGUGGCGUAGGUAGACCUUUCUUUUGGUUUUGUGUUUUAUUUGAGGACGAGCAAAAGGCAGGUUUGGGGGUAUUUGAUGGACACCUAAUAUUGCAUACAUUCUUAUCAUUUUGUAGGUGUUUAUGGUAUUUUAUUGCACUAAUUGCUUUAGUUAUGCCAAAUUAUGUAUUUUGUAGCUCUUGUUCGUUGCAAGUAAAAUGUGUGGCAGUUGUCCAGAUUUUUGUUUGGUAAUGCUAGGGGAAUGAAAAGAAUGGUUUGAACAUGUGCUAUGAUGGAAGUGGAUCUACAAUGCCCUGUCAAGCUAGAUUUCAAGUCGUCUUAAAGGAGAUGCGUGUAUGGAGAAUACAGCCAGGAUGCCGGCAGAUUUAUGAAGUUAUUAACAUUGCUAGUGAACAAGAAGUGCAAGAAGAAGAAACUAAUGGGCCAUAAUUCAAGUGAUACCCAUGUUGAGAGUUAAAGAAAAGAAGCCUAGCCCAAGUUCCAUUCUCAUAUACUAAAGACAGACCCUUAAUCCAAACAACACCCAAACAGACCCUGAUGGGAUUUUUAAUUAUUUGUUGUGGUAAUAAAGAUUCGAACUCUAAGACUUGUGAAGACUAAUUUUAAAGGUUUAAAUAAAAUAAUAAAUAAAAGAGAGAUUUACUGGGA